Rosa rugosa (rugosa rose) is the source of this 1756-nucleotide long non-coding RNA. RefSeq lists it as uncharacterized. The transcript is spliced from 2 exons. The record is from RefSeq and is a predicted model, not a curated record. Lineage: Eukaryota; Viridiplantae; Streptophyta; Magnoliopsida; Rosales; Rosaceae.
AUGACUCUACUUAUAAUUUUUGUUUCGGUUUUGUGUGUUUGGAUUUGCGAGUUGUGUAAUUGGAGACAUGAGAUUUUCAGAAUAUUUUUAUUAAUAUUUUUGAGAUUUUCAGUUUAUUAUUGAGUUAAUUUCGAGAAUUCUUUUAUGAUGCAUGUUACAAUCUUGUGCCCUUUUAUGUGUUUAGGUAAUUUUCAGAGUUAGGUUCAUAAGUUUGCAUGCAAGAAUAAUGGUGAGAGUUCUUGUGUGUUUGCUUAAUUUGCCAAGAGUAAUUAUUAUUUGUUAAGGCGCUGAGUUAAACAAGUAACAAUUAGUUCUAAAAAGUGGUAAAAAUCAUGCUUUAAUGAUUAAACGAUUCUGGAAAUUACGUGUUAAAUUCUAUGUGUAAUGGUUAAUUUACACGUGUGAGUUUAUUCGAGGGUUAGAUAAUACUACUAGUUAAGAGAAUUACGCUGAGUGUUUUCGAAAAUUAGUAGUAUUAGGCUUGGUAAGGACUUUUCCGAUCCAAGCCUACAUUAGAACGAAUCAGAUAAAUGGAUUGAUCCGCUGAGGCUUUUCAUUUGGGCUCUUAUCUAUGCAUUCAAGAUGGGCACAGUUUUGUAGCAUGUUGAAAUGAAUUUCUGAGUGGUAUUGGUCUAGGUUAGGGAAGUCGAUCAUUGUAUAUAGGUUUAUUUGUUUUGUUUUUAUUUUAAGUAGAUUAGGAACCAAAUCUCAAAACCUCCAUUUUAUUCUUUUAUUUGUUAAUUGACCUUUUUGUGUAGGUGUACCCUACAAUCCCCGGACUGAACGAUCCCUGCUUAUCCUAUACUGACAACUACAUUUUGCAGGGUUAAAUUGUGAGGCUAUUUUAGCUGCAUCAAUUUUUAUAAAAUAAACGGAAUCACGGAUAUCGAAAGAAAUUAGAGCGAAAUCGGAGCACAUAAUGAAGAAAUGAAGAAAUGAAGAAAAGAAGAAUUUCUCUUAAUUAAUUAUUCUUUUCAUCAAUUAAUCAUUAAUUAAUAGAGGUUUAAUCAUCAGAAGCAACAUCACGUGCAGAGGCAUGUUGCAAUCAAGCCAUUAUUUGUUUAAUUGAACUCAACCACUCAGAAGAUGACACAUGGCAGCUGUACAAUUAAUCACUAUGGUUUAAUCAUGCAAAGAGGGACCAGCGUUUCUUUCUCUCUUUUGCUGCCAAAACGAACAGCAGCACGUGCUCUUCCUCUUUCAUUUUCUGACGUCACUUUCCUCCCCUCAACCAUUGCAGCCUUGCCACGUGUCCCUUAUCCUUCCUCUUUCUCACAAAGCCUUUCCAGCCGCACACCCUACUAACCCUCUCUCUUCUCCAACAGCCGCACGCCCCAAUUAAAUUUAUUCCUUUACCCUUCCUCUAACAGAGAGAACACACCCACCGCCACUAUUUCAUUUUUCUUCUCUCACCCGUCACCUCACACUCUCUCAUCUUCCCAUCUUCAUUUUUAAUUUCAUUUUUUGGAUUGGACACUAAAGGCUUCAAGGAAAUCAUCAUCAAGAGCACACAUCCAUUUUUGGGUAGUUGAGUGAAGAAAUUACUUGGUUCAAACUAGCUCAUAGCUAGAAGUGGCCAAGCUAACUCUCAUCUCUUUUCCUUAUUAUCUCUUUCAUAAUUUUUCUAUGCUUUUGGUGAUGUAUUUGAUAAUGAGUUGUGAGUAGUUCAAUUUUGGGAGUUAGGGUUGUGAAGCCCUAACUCAUCUUGUAUAAAUAUUGAUGCUUUACUUCUAAUAAAUGCAAUUUUCAUUGUGUA